Non-coding RNA from Physcomitrium patens, 4784 nucleotides. NCBI's taxonomy places the organism in Eukaryota, Viridiplantae, Streptophyta, Bryopsida, Funariales, Funariaceae. The record is from RefSeq and is a predicted model, not a curated record.
UUAGCGUGGGAAAAAACUUACUAAUCACGUCGCAGGGCACUCCUUCUUCUUGUUGGUGUUGAUGCUCCCGUUCCAUGUCAGAACUCCACUGCGACUUGAACAGUCCAGCAGCUUGCGGGCGGGAGAUCGAUCGCUCACCUACCAGAACCCUAAUGCACUCUGCCCUCCCGUGUCUCUCCUGCGAUUGCUCGGCACUGUUCCGCUUCUGUCUGGAUCAUGCCGCAUCUCUUGGCCUUGCUCAGAUUUAUCUGACGCGGUCACGACGCGGGGUUUUUCGAUUUGCGCUCUUCGUGAACCCUGAGGCGAGGGGAGGAGUAGAGUCGAGAUGAUUGUAUGUCUGGAGUGUUGACAUUGUGGAUCUCGAUGAAUGUCGUGGAGAUGAGGUAGUUGUGAGGCUCGAGGCCCGAGGGGAGAGUUGGAACUGUUGACAACGCAGCAGCUAGAGAUAAUGGGGGAGAUUCGGGAGAAAGCAUUGGUUCUUUUGAAUGAGGCUAAAAUGCAGGUGAAGUCUACCGACAGGGCUGAUGUUCUGAAUAGAAUGAUGGAGCUUGUGCUGCACGAAGAUCCAGUGUCGCUGCUUCCGGAGUUUGUACCUUACCUGUUGGAGUUUCAGGCAGACCCUGACAGUCCUGUUCGUGAGAAUGUGGCUAAGAUGAUUGAAGGGGUAGGUCUGCAUCAUAUUGAUUACGUCCACGUCGUAGCUCCUGCUCUACUAAUGCUGUUGCAAGAUACCUCACCAGCAGUUGUGAAGCGUGCAAUCACCAGUGGUAGCAGUAUUUUCCUGAAUGUUUUCGAACAGGUUGCUUUGCAGGGGGUAGAGCGCGAACUCGUUGAACAAGAUCUAUUGGAAUGCUGGAAUUGGAUGGACCGCUUCAAGGAGGCAGUAUUUUCCCUUGCAUCUCAGUUUACUGAGUUGCAGCCUGGGGAUGACGAAGUACGGGUAUUGGCUCUGAAAUUUGUGGAGGCUACAGUUCUGCUUUUCACGCCUAAUUCCAAGAGUCUGUCAGCUGAUCUGCUGACUUCUGAUGGCACAAAUGAAGAAUCUCUUGUGACAUGCUUAGAUGGAGGUCACUCAGUCUUAAAUGCCAGUAUAUUGAAGCAAGAAGCUUCUAAGAGUCUUGGAUUGCUGUUGAAUCAGUUACAAACUUCGGAAGCACCUCCCCUAUCUUGUUUGGUGGCGUUGUCAAUCAUGAACAGUUUGGCUGGAUUAGCGGAAAGAAGACCAUCCAUGUCACCUGCAAUCCUCUCAGUUUUAUUAUCUCUAGUACCAAAUUUCGACCUUAGUCUGGGGAGUCACAGUGAAAAUUUUAUUCAUGAGCUGAAUAACGCUUGUGUUGAUAUUUUGAAAUCCGACCAACCUUGUGUCUUGUCGUGGCGAGAACAAUUGGUUGCGGCAUUGAGGCCCAUGAAUGCUGAGGCAAAACGUGAUCAAACCAUCAAAGAACCUGGAAUCCCUUCAUCUGUGUCUACUUCUUCAGACGUCAAAGUUACCGGUUCCUCCUUUGUUUCGAGAACUGCACUUAAGCCUCGUAACUCUUCUGCUACCGUGACUGCGCCACUGCGACCUGCGUCUCCCUUGACACGGAUUAGAACCUCGUCUACAUCUACUACCGUAACCGCUCCGCCACGAAAUCCCUCUCCAGGGAGACAGCUAAGAAUGCCGUCAGCUGCUGCCCCCGUAACUGGUCCACCACGAACUGCAUCUCCUUUGAAGCAAACUAGGACCCCGUCAAAUAGUACUUCUAACGUGGCUGCUCCUCCACGAACUGCGUCUCCAGCGAGACAGAUUAGGUCCUCGUCUGCUGCUACUGGUGACAAAGGCCCACCACGUACUGCAUCUCCUGCGAGGCAAAGUAGGACCUCAUCUACCUCAGCAACCGUAACUGCUCCACCAAGAACCGCAUCUCCUUCGAGACAACCAAAGACCUCUUCGGCUGUCACUUCUGUGACGGCUUCGCUGCGGCCGGCAUCUCCCUCGAGACAGACUGUCAAGACUCCCGGUUCCCUCCCUCAGAAUGGGCUCUCUAGCGCGAAGGGACUCAGGGGUACGUCUCCAGCGAGACCCAGAUCUGGUGGUGUGGACAGCGGGGUUACUAAAGUUUCUCCUCGUGCUAGUACAGGUGUUGAGGAUCCCAAGUCGUCAACCGUCGCUGUCUCGUCUUCUUCAACGUCUACGAGGACUUCUGCCAAGCCUGCCCUCACGUCGCUGAAAGUAUCACCUCGACCGUCCCCUUCCUCUUCUCCUCGUGCUGUUCCAAAUGUGGAGAACCCCAGGUCCUCUGGUGUUAUUGUGCCAUUUCCACUUACUGUUGUGAAGUCUUUACCCAAGCCCUCUGCUACCUCUGUCAAAGUGUCUCCCCGCCCACCGUCCCCUUCUAUGAAAUCAGCACCUCGCUCAGCAUCUCCCGCAGCGAAGUCAUCUGCCCGACCAGCAUCACCUUCUGUGAAAUCUGCACCUCGAGCAGCGUCUCCUUCAUCUCGUGUCACGGCUGGAGCUUCCCCCCGAACGACGACUGGAAGUGUAACAAGUCGUCCUGCAUCUCCGUCUCCAGCUGCACGGAAAGGUGUGGCAUCUUCUGGAAAUCUGCUUCCAUCUCCAUCCCCACGAGCUUCUGAAAACAAGUCGUCGCAGAUUUCUACUCCCAAUGUUUCAGUUUCUGUCCCAGAUUCAUCAAAAGUUGGUUCUAUCAAUGGAAAGCCUUCUCUUUCCAACCACCUACCAGCAGCGUCUUCGAGCCUUGCAGCCCCAGGACGGAGUAAGGCGUCUCCUAGUGCGAUCCCUUCGUUGAAGACAAAAGUUGGUUCUCUCCUUCCUUCGAUACGGAAGAGUUCACAAUCGCCAUCUUGUGAGAGCUCGCAUAAUCUAUCAUCUAGCAGGAGUGAUCCCAAUCCGGAUGCAUCUACCGAAUCGGUAACGAGGAGUGUGGUGCAGGAGGUUCCUACUCAGAGGUUAAGAAUUGCAAGCUUCAAACGAAAUGGUUCAGGACCAUCGAAGGCAACAGAGAUAGUCUCACCUGAAGUUAUUCCGGCCAACCCAAUUACUAUGAAUACGAAAAAACGCUGUGGGUGGAUCACUUCUCAAAGUGAUGAAGUUCAUAUUGCUUACCAUGACAAUGAGUGGGGCAUUCCAAUCUAUGAUGACAAACUUCUCUUUGAAUUGAUUGUGCUGCAAGGGGCACAGGCUGAGUUGAGCUGGCCUACCAUUCUCGCCAGGCGGAAUAACUUCAGGGCCGCAUUUGCGAAUUUCGACCCAGCGAUUGUCGCCAAGUUCGAUGAGAAGAAGAAACUAUCAUUGAUAGCAGACUCAUCCAUCUGCUUCCCAGAAGCUAAAGUGAGAGGGGCUGUUGAUAAUGCAUCACAUGUUCUUAAGAUCAUUGAAGACUAUGGUUCAUUGAGCAAGUUUCUGUGGAGUUACGUCAACCAUAAGCCGAUUUCAAGUCAAUAUAAAUUGGCCAAACAAGUGCCUGUUAAGACGCCCAAGUCUGAGGCGUUGAGUAAGGAACUACUACGAAGAGGAUUCAGGUUCGUGGGUCCGACAACAAUGUAUUCAGUGAUGCAGGCAGCAGGUCUGGUAUGUGACCAUAUAGUCACAUGCUACAAAUAUCAGGAGACUUCUGCUGAAAACUCUCCAGUAACUGAUCUGGUUAUGGAAGGGGAGAAAGCUACAGAUCCAUGGCAGCGCAUUUCUCUGCCAGCCGAUGUGUAUUCUCUCGAAUUCAGGAGAGCGUCAGCCAAUGCUAGUGAUCCUGUCUGGGCAGAGCUCCCAAUAAUCGAGGAGGCUAAAGAAGAAGAAUUAGAGAAAAAUUCUGAAGACGAAGAGUUAAAUGAUGACAUUUCGUCGUCAUCAAAGAGUGGAAUACCAGUUUGCUGACCCAAGAGGUGAAACGGCGCUCAUCACAUGAAUCGGGAUUUACAUUCAUUAUUUUCUCGUCUUACAAGAAGCGCUUUCCCAUCACACUCAAUCGCACCUGGGCUAGCAGACUCUCUGGACCUGAUGCUAAUCAUUUAACUGCAUCAGUUCCCUCCCACCAUCCUCUCAGGCCCGACUCUUGGAGCUAAUGUGGGCGAUUUGUAUUGAACUCCUGGUUCUUCCCAGAAAUAGGUGGACAUGUACGAUACUCGGCUAUUCUACAAAAAAAAAAUUGCAGCCUAAUGGCUAUACCGUUGAUCACUCCUGAUGCACUGAUUCUCAAUGCGAAUGUCUCACACAUUCAUCAGAUUUCCAUCGACUAUCAAGAUGAAGUCUGCUAUCUAUCGUUGGUGGAAUAUAUUCUGCUGCAUGAAGCUUUCUUGAGUUUCCAGCAGCAUUGACGGAUUCCUCUUGAACAGAAAACAUGUAUUUUUAGGUUUAAUACCUUCCUACUUGUACACCUAUUUCUUUAAUCUGCACUAUAUUUUCAUCCCUUAAGAUCCUGUAUGCACUAUGCAGAUCACAAGUCUUGCUUAGGGCGCUUAUUCACCUGUGACAUCGCUAGCCUCAUUCCUACUCUCUAACUUUGUCUAAAUUCUUGAACCUCUACUGUACAAUACUUUGUUAAAUUGCAGCAGCUGAGGACACGACGUAUUCUUCAACUCAAAGUUUGGUAGGGAGGAACGAGAGACAGGAACCUGCAAUGAUUGUCACCGAUGAAUUUGGCUGCACGCCUCUAGUCGACUGGCCCCUGAUAUAGUUGGCAUUUCCUUAUUACCCCGAAGGGAUCUGAAACAAGCAGUAUUAUGUUCUAUUAUGGUAAUCCUAAAGUCAGUUGAUAAUGAAACCAAACGUUGGAAAUUGGAAAAUUUUA